This is a long non-coding RNA of Melanotaenia boesemani (Boeseman's rainbowfish), 129 nucleotides long. RefSeq lists it as uncharacterized. NCBI's taxonomy places the organism in Eukaryota, Metazoa, Chordata, Actinopteri, Atheriniformes, Melanotaeniidae. The transcript is spliced from 3 exons. The record is from RefSeq and is a predicted model, not a curated record.
AGCUGCUGACAGGCAGAUAGCAGCUAACAGCGCUAACGGCUCAGACUGAUAAGCUUUAGGACCACCUGGUUAAUGUGGAGCUGAGGAGAUUCGGGAGGGAAAGUCUUCCACCUCAAAGACCCUCUGUGG